RNAcentral lists this unclassified non-coding RNA (351 nucleotides) under Hevea brasiliensis (rubber tree). The record is from RNAcentral. Lineage: Eukaryota; Viridiplantae; Streptophyta; Magnoliopsida; Malpighiales; Euphorbiaceae.
GAACGCAUUAGCACUAUUUGCCUGUGGGCUAACUGUGAAUGGGACUGAUUUUGGUUUCUGGUUGUACAGCACCACAAUUGUCUGCUACCAUACCUUUUACCUGCCUCUGCUAUAUGUAACAUUUUUAGCGGACUUUUUCCAGGAGGAUGAUUUGCAUCUAGAGAAUGUAUACUAUUCAGAGAUGAAAGAUGCCGGUUUCUUUGAUGCUGAUUGGGAGUGAUGCAGUGAGAUUCCGGCUGGAUGACAAUCUGUACAUUGAAGUAACUUACGGAUGGCAAAAAUUGCUGCACUUUAAGAGAUGCUUGUUCAUUCCUUGCUUGACUUGUUCUUUCACUUUAGGUGUGCCGCUUC